This 230-nucleotide long non-coding RNA is filed under the name Pelobates cultripes (western spadefoot toad). Lineage: Eukaryota; Metazoa; Chordata; Amphibia; Anura; Pelobatidae. The record is from RNAcentral.
UUUGGUUGUAAAGAUAUAAGAAGCAGGCUAGUGAACAUGUCCAAAUAGAGAUAGUUAUAUUGGUGUGCAAACAGAUUAUGUAUUUCAGACAUAGUAGAUUAGGAAAACAUAAAGCAUGGUGUAGGUAGAACUUAAACUAGGCAUGUCAGGAGAGAGAGCUGUAUAACAUGCUAUCUAUAACAAGUGAACUAUAUGCACUGCAGAGCCAGAAGGCUGAAUUUAUCCCUUAA